CUGGUCUCGUCUUGGAACUACAGAGGACAUUUGCAAGCCAACAACCUGAACUCCUGCACCAGGCUACCCAACAGAGUUGGCUAGGCAUUGGCGAUUUUCCAAACGUGAUGGAAAACGAGGGACACGAAUUGAUUACUUACCAGGAAUCUCUUUGUGCAUUGCAGGAUGAAACCAUAGCCCUUUUUUGCCAGCAAUACCGACGAUGCAUACGUCACUCACUGCAAAGUAUAUGAAGGAAGAGACCAAUAUGUUGUUCGGCGACAACGGCUUUCAUUUUCUUUGCAUAUUGAAUAAUAUGCGAAAAUAUACAUGUUCCGCUACAACUUAAAGCUGAAUUUCAUGAUUUUCUAGCUGUUGGUUGAUCUCUAAUAAGAGUGAUGUAUUGCCUUUCUUGAA
Molecule: long non-coding RNA, 396 nt
Organism: Lolium rigidum
Lineage: Eukaryota; Viridiplantae; Streptophyta; Magnoliopsida; Poales; Poaceae
Exons: 2
Source: RefSeq, a predicted model, not a curated record